Molecule: ribosomal RNA, 164 nt
Filed under: uncultured bacterium
Lineage: Bacteria
Description: partial 16S ribosomal RNA
Rfam family: Bacterial small subunit ribosomal RNA
Source: RNAcentral
UAGGGAAUCUUCCACAAUGGGCAAAAGCCUGAUGGAGCAACGCCGCGUGUGUGAUGAAGGGUUUCGGCUCGUAAAACACUGUUGUAAGAGAAGAAUGACAUUGAGAGUAACUGUUCAAUGUGUGACGGUAUCUUACCAGAAAGGAACGGCUAAAUACGUGCCAG